Molecule: ribosomal RNA, 305 nt
Filed under: uncultured bacterium
Lineage: Bacteria
Description: bacterial SSU rRNA
Rfam family: Bacterial small subunit ribosomal RNA
Source: RNAcentral
AGUUACCUACGGGAGGCAGCAGUCGAGAAUCAUUCACAAUGGGGGAAACCCUGAUGGUGCGACGCCGCGUGGGGGAAUGAAGGUCUUCGGAUUGUAAACCCCUGCCAUGUGGGAGCAAAUUAAAAAGAUAGUACCACAAGAGGAAGAGACGGCUAACUCUGUGCCAGCAGCCGCGGUAAUACAGAGGUCUCAAGCGAUGUUCGGAAUCACUGGGCGUAAAGCGUGCGUAGGCUGUUUCGUAAGUCGUGUGUGAAAGGCGCGGGCCCAACACGCGGACGGCACAUGAUACUGCGGGACUAGAGUAA